AGUGAACGCUGGCGGUAGGCCUAACACAUGCAAGUCGAACGGCAGCACAGUAAGAGCUUGCUCUUACGGGUGGCGAGUGGCGGACGGGUGAGGAAUACAUCGGAAUCUACUUUUUCGCGGGGGAUAACGUAGGGAAACUUACGCUAAUACCGCAUACGACCUACGGGUGAAAGCAGGGGAUCUUCGGACCUUGCGCGAUUGAAUGAGCCGAUGUCGGAUUAGCUAGUUGGCGGGGUAAAGGCCCACCAAGGCGACGAUCCGUAGCUGGUCUGAGAGGAUGGUACGCCACACUGGAACUGAGACACGGUCCCGACUCCGACGGGAGGCAGCAGUGGGGAAUAUUGGACAAUGGGCGCAAGCCUGAUCCAGCCAUACCGAGUGGGUGAAGAAGGCCUUCGGGUUGUAAAGCCUUUUUGUUGGGAAAGAAAAGCAGCAGGUUAAUACCCCGCUGUUCUGACGGUACCAAAAGAAUAAGGACCGGCUAACUUCGUG
Molecule: ribosomal RNA, 492 nt
Filed under: uncultured bacterium
Lineage: Bacteria
Description: partial 16S ribosomal RNA
Rfam family: Bacterial small subunit ribosomal RNA
Source: RNAcentral